RNAcentral lists this ribosomal RNA (1698 nucleotides) under Triticum aestivum (bread wheat). Its description in RNAcentral is "partial small subunit ribosomal RNA". Lineage: Eukaryota; Viridiplantae; Streptophyta; Magnoliopsida; Poales; Poaceae. The record is from RNAcentral.
AUGGGCACGGCUUCGAUGCAGAAGAGCUGGCGCAAGGCGUGCGGCGCCAUCAAGGACUCCACCACCGUCAGCCUCGCCAAGGUCAACAGCGGCCGCGACCACCUCAAGGAUCUCGACGUCGCCGUCGUCAAGGCCACCAGCCACGUCGAGCGCCCGCCCAAGGACCGACACCUCGCAAAGAUCGUCGGCGCCCGGUCGCGCACCGAGGUCUCCCACUGCGUCCACGCGCUCGCCAGGCGCCUCUCCAACACCAGCAACUGGGUGGUGGCUCUGAAGGCGCUGGUGGUGAUCCACCGGGCGCUGCGGGAGGGCGACGGCGGCGCGUUCAGGGAGGAACUGCUGAGCCACGGGCGGCGGCGGGGCCACGCGCUGCAGAUGUCCAGCUUCAAGGACGACUCGGGCCACCUGGCCUGGGACUGCUCCGCGUGGGUGCGCACCUACGCGCUCUUCCUCGAGGAGCGGCUCGAGUGCUUCGCGGUGCUCCGGUACGACGUGGAGGCGGAGCGCCUCAGAGCCCCGGCGCCGGCAGCGGAGGGGCAGACUCCUCACACCAAGGCGCAGAGCAGGACGAGGGGCCUCGGCAAGGACGACCUCCUCGAGCAGCUGCCCGCGCUGCAGCAGCUGCUCUUCCGGCUCGUCGGCUGCCAGCCCGAGGGAGCGGCGUUCGGGAACUACCUCAUACAGUACGCCUUAGCUCUGGUGCUGAAGGAGAGCUUCAAGAUCUACUGCGCCGUCAACGAUGGCAUCAUCAACCUCGUGGAUGUGUUCUUCGACAUGAGCAAGCUCGAUGCGAUCAAAGCCCAGGACAUCUACAGGAGAACAGGAACUCUGGCGAAGAGCCUGUCUGAAUUCUACGAGCUCUGCAGGGGUUUGGAGCUUGCCAGGAACUUCCAGUUCCCAGUUCUCAGAGAGCCACCGGCGUCGUUUCUUGUGACGAUGGAGGAGUACAUCAGAGAAGCUCCCAGAGCUGGCCACGUUGCAAAUAAGACCAUUGAGUAUCGGCAACUGGAUCCUACUGCAGACCAAGAAGAACAACCACCACCUGAACCGCCCCGCGAGGCGACGACCGAAGAACCUGCGGCGGAGGAACCGAUGCCGGAGCCCGAAGAGGAAUCCCACCCUGCACCUGAGCUCAACGAUGAACCUCAACCUACCACCACCACUGCCGAUUUCGAUUUACUGGGUUUACAUGAGGUGAGCUCCGCUGCCGCUGAGAUCGAGGAGAGCAACGCACUGGCGCUGGCCAUUGUAGCACCAGGUGGUGGUGGCAGCAGCGCGUCUGCGUCUCCUGCUGUUGACAUGGAUGGAUCUUCGGGCUGGGAGCUGGCGUUGGUAGCGGCACGGACCGACAUGAGCAGCCGAUCGACAGAGAUGAAACUGGCCGGGGGCUUCGACGGCCUGCUGCUCGACAGCCUGUACGAGGACGCGGCGAGGAGGCAGCAGCAGCAGCAGGCGACCUACGACGACCCUGCCGGGGACCCGUUCGCCGCGUCGACGAGCGUCGCGCCGCCGACCGGCGUGCAGAUGUCAAUGAUGGCGCAGCAGCAGGAGAUGUUUGGGAUGCCGCUGCCGUUUCAGCAUGCUGGUGCCGGUGCUUCUGGGUCUCAGGCCAAUCCAUUCGGUGACGCGUACUCUGCUAUGUUACCCCAGGGGCAGGGCACCCCCUUCCAUGGACACGGGAGCGGCAGCUUGAUUUGA